AUUGAACGCUGGCGGCAGGCUUAACACAUGCAAGUCGAGCGGGGUGAUGGUGCUUGCACUAUCACUUAGCGGCGGACGGGUGAGUAAUGCUUAGGAAUCUGCCUAUUAGUGGGGGACAACAUCUCGAAAGGGAUGCUAAUACCGCAUACGUCCUACGGGAGAAAGCAGGGGAUCACUUGUGACCUUGCGCUAAUAGAUGAGCCUAAGUCGGAUUAGCUAGUUGGUGGGGUAAAGGCCUACCAAGGCGACGAUCUGUAGCGGGUCUGAGAGGAUGAUCCGCCACACGGGGACUGAGACACGGCCCAGACUCCUACGGGAGGCAGCAGUGGGGAAUAUUGGACAAGGGGGGGAACCCUGAUCCAGCCAUGCCGCGUGUGUGAAGAAGGCCUUAUGGUUGUAAAGCACUUUAGGCGAGGAGGAGGCUCUUUUGGUUAAUACCCAAGAUGAGUGGACGUUACCCGCAGAAUAAGCACCGGCUAACUCUGUGCCAGCAGCCGCCGUAA
This 503-nucleotide ribosomal RNA is filed under the name uncultured bacterium. RNAcentral describes it as "partial 16S ribosomal RNA". It matches the Rfam family "Bacterial small subunit ribosomal RNA", at positions 30 to 523 of the family's 1533-position model. The record is from RNAcentral.